CUCAAUCCUAACUUUUCGUCACCAACAUUUGUGGACUUCAGUCGUUUCAAAGAAAAAUCACAAGUUCUUCCCCCAGCUCUCUGUGCACAUCGUUCUUCCCUCGGCACUUCAUAUGUUUAUAAUUAUUAUGAUUAUUUAUGUAAUUUGUCUAAAAGAGAUCAAAUAGGGGCCACUCCGCACUGCUAUCCCCCUAUAUGCUAUCCUGCUAUCCAAUUUUUUGAGUCGGCCACUUUGUGCUGUUAUCUAGGAUUGACUACUCUACUUGUGAAGUUGAUCUCUCAACCUCUCUCUGUGUGUCUAUGUCCCCGGCUUGCAAUUUCUUUCUAUGGCAAAUUUGAAUUCAAACUGAUUAUCUACUUAACCCUCAAUAAAAUAUCUUCAAAAAAAAAAAUUAUCAGCUAG
Molecule: non-coding RNA, 402 nt
Organism: Vicia faba (fava bean)
Lineage: Eukaryota; Viridiplantae; Streptophyta; Magnoliopsida; Fabales; Fabaceae
Source: the annotation of a GenBank genome assembly